Non-coding RNA from Ornithorhynchus anatinus (platypus), 138 nucleotides. NCBI's taxonomy places the organism in Eukaryota, Metazoa, Chordata, Mammalia, Monotremata, Ornithorhynchidae. The record is from Rfam.
UCCCUCUCAAUAUUGAGCCUGGGGAAUUUCCAGUAAUCUACCAGUCUCAGCUAUUGGAGGGAGAGUCAAGCAGAGACAUAGCCAUUCCAUUCCUAGCUUGGACAAUGGCUAGCAAGUAGAAGAUAAUCUGCUACAAGU